UUGUACAGGAAUGAUGAUCCUAAUUUGGCAAUGAGAAAGGAUGUGUGGUGCUACUGAACAAUUAUUAAUCAAACUGCUAUAAUGCAGAUGUAGUUGAAAUAAUGAUUUUUUAAGUAAAAAAUUGUAUGUUGAAACAUUUACUUUAAAAUAUUGAUCAAAAUGGAUGGUGGACAGCAGCACAUUAAAUUUGUGCCUUAAUCACUACUGGACCAAGAGUUUGUAGAAGGAAAAUUGUCGACAACACCGGUACAUUUAGAAGCAAGAUGGAAACGAAAGAGUGUGUGAAUUACAUGUAUCAGUUUGGAUAUACAUUCAUCAAUAAGCUACAGAGUGGUUUGUAAACCCAUCAUUU
Molecule: non-coding RNA, 352 nt
Organism: Ciona intestinalis (vase tunicate)
Lineage: Eukaryota; Metazoa; Chordata; Ascidiacea; Phlebobranchia; Cionidae
Source: RefSeq, a predicted model, not a curated record